This 373-nucleotide ribosomal RNA is filed under the name uncultured bacterium. RNAcentral's name for it is "bacterial SSU rRNA". It matches the Rfam family "Bacterial small subunit ribosomal RNA", at positions 525 to 896 of the family's 1533-position model. The record is from RNAcentral.
ACGUAGGGUCCGAGCGUUAUCCGGAAUUACUGGGCGUAAAGAGUUCGUAGGCGGAUUUUUAAGUCAGGUGUUAAAUAUGCAGGCUCAACUUGCAUGCCGCAUCUGAUACUGAGAGUCUUGAGAGUGGAAGAGGUAAGCGGAAUUUCCGGUGGAGCGGUAAAAUGCGUAGAUAUCGGAAAGAACACCAAUGGCGAAGGCAGCUUACUGGGCCAUUUCUGACGCUGAGGAACGAAAGCGUGGGGAGCGAUCGGGAUUAGAUACCCCGGUAGUCCACGCCGUAAACGAUGUCUACUAGCUUUUUCGAGUAUCGACCCUUGGAGAAGCGAAGCUAACGCGUUAAGUAGACCGCCUGGGGAGUACGAGCGCAAGCUUA